CAAAAAUAAAAAAACAAAAAAACAAACAAACGUGGCAUAAAAUUCAAAGUCACAGAAAACAAAGCAGAUGAGAUCUCUCAACGGCAUCAACUGAAACGGUACAACCUAGACUCGUUUUUUAAAAUUCUUCUUCAAAUGUUCCACGUCAAACACGUGAAAACGCCAUUUCCUCGCUCCACGUGUCACACAACUAACGCAUGCCCACUUGUUACGUAAAAUCUCUCACUCCCAAUAUAAACGUUACAUAACAAACAUCCUCAAAGGAAAUCAAAAACAUUAGCAAAGUAGCUCCAACAACCAUAAAAAAACCUCUCACCAAACUUCCUUUCCCUUUGCUUGUGUGUUAGUUUUCUUGAAAUUCCGCUAUUUGCAUCUAAAUUUUUGUACACUUAAAUGAUGGAUUUAUCUUAUAUUGGCUACAAUAUGGGAUCGAUGUCGCCCGAGCAGGGCGACUCGUCCUCAGCCGAGGAGGUGGAAUCGCCGCGGUCUGUGGUGACCGCGGCGGCUUCAGGGAGAAAAAAUAGUGGAGUAGAGAGGUGGAGGCGGUGGCGGAAAAGCCGCGGUAUGGAUCGAAAUCAUGAUCAUAAGGAGGAGAAGUGUUAUUUGCAUAGUCAGGUGUUGAGGAUUAAGGAAGAGGAGUUGCAAAUCGGGGAGUAUUUAGUGGGUGAUUUUGCGAUUUAUAAGAUUGAAUAUGAGCAUGAUUUGUAUGAUCCAAUUGAAGAUGUUUGGUCUAGGACGACGGUUUUGCCUGCUUCGCCUCUUGGAAGUAAGAAGAAUUAUUAGGGAGAUUAGUGAACGCUUUUCGAUUUAGUUUCAGAAUAGAACAUCAGGAUGAAGAUGAUCAUGGUAUGCUGGUAGCAAGAGGACAAAAAAGAAGUAAACGCAAGAAAAUCUUCCUUGAUCUCAAAACUUUUUUCUGUUUCUUCAUGAGUGCACAUAUAUAUAUAUAUAUAUAUAUAUAUAUAUAUAUAUAUAUAUCAUAUCUUAGAGAGAGAUCUUUGGUAGCCACUUGUACAGUGAAUUCCCAUGAAGAACAAUGCAAAGGUGAUUGCUGUCGUAGUCCCAUGUAUGAUUCACCCCAUUUUGGUUAUAUAUCAUUAUCUAAAUUCUAAAGA
Molecule: long non-coding RNA, 1115 nt
Organism: Beta vulgaris subsp. vulgaris (sugar beet)
Lineage: Eukaryota; Viridiplantae; Streptophyta; Magnoliopsida; Caryophyllales; Amaranthaceae
Exons: 2
Source: RefSeq, a predicted model, not a curated record